GGAGUUAGCCGGUGCUUCUUCUGUGAGUGAUGUCCUUCCUGCCGGCUAUUAACCCGCAGGCCUUCUUCCUCACUGAAAGUGCUUUACAACCCGAAGGCCUUCUUCACACACGCGGCAUGGCUGGAUCAGGGUUGCCCCCAUUGUCCAAUAUUCCCCACUGCUGCCUCCCGUAGGAGUCUGGGCCGUGUCUCAGUCCCAGUGUGGCUGAUCAUCCUCUCAGACCAGCUACGGAUCGUCGCCUUGGUGAGCCGUUACCUCACCAACCAGCUAAUCCGACAUAGGCUCAUCCGAUAGCGCGAGGCCCGAAGGUCCCCCGCUUUCCCCCGUAGGGCGUAUGCGGUAUUAGCCUGGGUUUCCCCAGGUUAUCCCCCGACUACCGGGCAGAUUCCUAUGCAUUACUCACCCGUCCGCCGCUCGCCACCAGGGAGCAAGCUCCCCGUGCUGCCGCUCGACUUGCAUGUGUUAGGCCUGCCGCCAGCGUUCAAUCUGAGCANGANCAACUACUGA
This 507-nucleotide ribosomal RNA is filed under the name uncultured bacterium. RNAcentral describes it as "partial 16S ribosomal RNA". The record is from RNAcentral.